This 76-nucleotide transfer RNA is filed under the name Caldifarciminota bacterium SM23_60. RNAcentral describes it as "tRNA-Thr". It matches the Rfam family "tRNA". From Rfam's summary of the family: Transfer RNA (tRNA) molecules are approximately 80 nucleotides in length. Their secondary structure includes four short double-helical elements and three loops (D, anti-codon, and T loops). Lineage: Bacteria; Pseudomonadati; Caldifarciminota. The record is from RNAcentral. RNAcentral also lists the same sequence under 1 other name.
GCCUGGAUAGCUCAGUCGGUAGAGCACGUCCUUGGUAAGGACGAGGUCGCGGGUUCAAUUCCCGCUCCAGGCUCCA